This 425-nucleotide long non-coding RNA is filed under the name Androctonus crassicauda. The record is from RNAcentral. Lineage: Eukaryota; Metazoa; Arthropoda; Arachnida; Scorpiones; Buthidae.
AGGACUACCACCAACAACGAAAGGAAACCAUCAAGAAAAGGACUAUUACCAAUAAAGAAAUUAACAUCAGCGAUAAGAAACUAUCAAGAAAAAGGACAAUUAUCAAUAAAAAUCUUGCUAACCAACAGGAGGGGCUUGAGGGUGAUCCUUCCUGAUCAGAGAGGGAUUUACUAUCAAUGAACGGGGAAUCAACAGAAAGUGUGUAUCCUGUUAGAAGCGCAAAAUAUACUUUUUUAACGUAUUUUUCCCCAGAAUGUGUCCUUAUGGUAUCCGAAUGUAUACGAAAGAGGACAUUACAGUUAACUAUAGUUUCCUAUUCCAGUCGUAAAAGCAUAACAGUAGAAUUUGGCAAGUUGCCCGAACCAAAGACAAAUGUUGUACUGAGUAGCCGUGAAAAGACACGUAAAUAAAUCAUUGGAAACGAC